GAUGAAGAACGCAGCGAAAUGCGAUAAGCAAUGUGAAUUGCAGAAUUCAGUGAAUCAUCGAAUCUUUGAACGCACAUUGCGCCCGCCAGUAUUCUGGCGGGCAUGCCUGUUCGAGCGUCAUUUCAACCCUCAGGCCCCCAGUGCCUGGUGUUGGGGAUCGGCCCAGCCUUCCUGUAAGGCCGCCGGCCCCGAAAUCUAGUGGCGGUCUCGCUGUAGUCCUCCUCUGCGUAGUAGCACAACCUCGCAGUUGGAACGCGGCGGUGGCCAUGCCGUUAAACACCCCACUUCUGAAAGUUGACCUCGGAUCAGGUAGGAAUACCCGCUGAACUUAAGCAUAUCAAUAAGCGGAGGA
RNAcentral lists this unclassified non-coding RNA (352 nucleotides) under soil metagenome. RNAcentral describes it as "partial contains 5.8S ribosomal RNA, internal transcribed spacer 2, and large subunit ribosomal RNA". The stretch from base 1 to 120 matches the Rfam family "5.8S ribosomal RNA", at positions 35 to 154 of the family's 154-position model. The record is from RNAcentral.